UAUGUUUGAGCCUUAGAAUUACUUAAUGUUCUUUCUUCUUGUAAGCAAUACCUGAACACGAUGUUCAGGUAAGCAGCCACUGAGCCAUGGAUGGCGAAUUGGCUGCGGUUGCGUAUUUUGAGAAUAUGUUUGUUAAGAACAUUUAGUAAUUCUUAGGUUCAAUACAU
Non-coding RNA from Clostridium sp. CAG:127, 167 nucleotides. NCBI's taxonomy places the organism in Bacteria, Bacillati, Bacillota, Clostridia, Eubacteriales, Clostridiaceae. The record is from Rfam.